CCAAUAGCGUAUAUUAAAGUUGUUGCAGUUAAAAAGCUCGUAGUUGAAUUUCGGGAUUCGUCCAUUGGUCAGGCUUAACUGUCUGUACUGGUGUGUCGGAUUUCUACCUUCUGAAGAACCUUCAUGCCAUUAAUUUGGUGUGUUGGGGAAUCAGGACUGUUACUUUGAAAAAAUUAGAGUGUUUAAAGCAGGCUAACGUCUGAAUACAUUAGCAUGGAAUAAUGAAAUAGGACGGUACGGUUCUAUUUUGUUGGUUUCUAGGAUCGCCGUAAUGAUUAAUAGGGAUAGUUGGGGGCAUUAGUAUUCAAUUGUCAGAGGUGAAAUUCUUGGAUUUAUUGAAGACUAACUUCUGCGAAAGCAUUUGCCAAGGAUGUUUUCAUUAAUCAAGAACGAAAGUUAGGGGAUCGAAGACGAUCAGAUACCGUCGUAGUCUUAACCAUAAACUAUGCCGACUAGGGAUUGGACGAUGUUAAUUUUUUAAUGACUCGUUCAGCACCUUACG
RNAcentral lists this ribosomal RNA (502 nucleotides) under uncultured Glomeromycotina. Its description in RNAcentral is "partial small subunit ribosomal RNA". It matches the Rfam family "Eukaryotic small subunit ribosomal RNA", at positions 591 to 1092 of the family's 1831-position model. Lineage: Eukaryota; Fungi; Glomeromycota. The record is from RNAcentral.